GAUGAAGAACGCAGCGAAAUGCGAUAAGUAAUGUGAAUUGCAGAAUUCAGUGAAUCAUCGAAUCUUUGAACGCACAUUGCGCCCGCUAGUAUUCUGGCGGGCAUGCCUGUCCGAGCGUCAUUUCAACCCUCAAGCCCCCGGGCUUGGUGUUGGGGAUCGGCGAGCCUCCGCGCCCGCCGUCCCCUAAAUCUAGUGGCGGUCUCGCUGUAGCUUCCUCUGCGUAGUAGCACACCUCGCACUGGGAAACAGCGCGGCCACGCCGUUAAACCCCCAACUUCUGAAAGUUGACCUCGGAUCAGGUAGGAAUACCCGCUGAACUUAAGCAUAUCAAUAAGCGGAGGA
This 342-nucleotide unclassified non-coding RNA is filed under the name soil metagenome. Its description in RNAcentral is "partial contains 5.8S ribosomal RNA, internal transcribed spacer 2, and large subunit ribosomal RNA". The stretch from base 1 to 120 matches the Rfam family "5.8S ribosomal RNA", at positions 35 to 154 of the family's 154-position model. The record is from RNAcentral.